UCUAUUAGUACAGAGAUCAGAGGAACUCCGGAGAGGAUCUUGUUGGAGGCCAUAAUGAGAGAAAAAUGAAAAAGGAGAGGAAAUGGAAGUACCCACACUCCCCAGAGGAAAACAAGACAACAAAUAUGUAAUCAUGUAUUACACCAUCAGGAUGAAGAGGAGAGGAAAAUUCCAUGCAGAGCCCAGAGAAACAAAAAGAAAGAGAAAUUGAAAGAGAUUGCACCCUGCUGGGAGAGGGAAGACACAUUCACUAAAAAUUAGUUAAGAUAAUUGUUCACAUACCUCCAAUAGCAUUCUAAAAUAACAUAAAAACUGUUUACCAUAAUCUUUUUGCCAUUAUGAAAAGCAAAUAAACUAAAAAAAAAAAAAAGUAGCAAAACCCACAAAUAAGUUUCUAGGAGUGUGUUUAUAAAGUAGUUGAUGCCUUUGAACACUAAGUCUGUCUUACUAAGGUUUUGUAAAAUGCUUGUUCUUUGAUUUAUAUCAUACUUAUCUAGUGUCUUUGGAAAGCAGUGAUCUUCCUUGUCAUGAUUCAAAAUUAUUUCUCAAGACAAGGUUUCAUUACAUAGUUUACAUUCUUGAUACUUUUUGUUUCUUUAAGUCACUUUUAACUGUUCAUUCUGGGACUAGGGAAACCAAAAUAUUUCACCCAAUUUCAAUUGUACACUAAGUAAACAAAUGGAAACUUAAAAGGAAGAAAGCACCUAACACACCCUUUUUCUAUUUUUUGGAAAUAAUUAGAAGUAUUGAACAUUCUUUCUGUUCUAGUGGAUUAUUGUGAAGAAUAGAGACAACAGCUACAAAAGUUAGCUACGUAGGAAUUUAAAUCAAAUUAUUGUACAGCUUUUAAUGUGUCAUAAGCACAUUAAUAACUUAGAAAUAGCACAGAUAAUACAGUAGCAGACUGUUUCCCCAUACACAUGAUUUUCAGUUUCUGAGUGGUAAAUGAAAAUACAAUUUUCAUUAUAUAUGUACCUAUGUCUCUCCAUAUACAAUGAUGAUUAUAUUGGGGGUAGAGCACUUUAAGUAACUAGUUUUCAAUACAGGCUAGCAAGUUAUUAUUUUAUGGGCCAAAAAAUAGAAGAACCAAGAGAUAAAUUAAUGCUUCAAAUUUUACAAAGAAAUUCAAUGGCAAAACUUAGUAUGGUCUUCAUAAUCGAGGCUUUGGUUCCAAUCUCAGCUUUGACACUUCCCUACCAGCUGCUUGAUUCUGAGGCAUUUAACUUUUCUGAACCUCAGUUUUCAAUCUCUAAAGUGGGUUGUUAGGUUGUUAUAUAGGAUAGAGAUUAGUAGCAAAUAAUUCUGGUCAUAUCCUCUUUCAUGUGUGUCCCAUCAUUGUUAAUAAAUUUGGCUCAUUCUUGUUGAAUUUUUAUUAAAUACGGUGUUCUAAGCACUGUGUUGCAGGGCAGCAAAUUAUUCCAAGGAAAUCUGUGAACUCAUAUGAAUACCAAGUAUCACCUCUGGACAGAAUAAGUAAUAUGUCACAUGUAAUGUAUUGUUGUUUUUCUAAUAUAGGCAGACAUGGUUGAUGUUGAUACAAUAGAAAUUGAGGAGCAUAUAGGUACUCCAUUAAAUGAAUAUAUUAAACUAUAGAAAGUACUCAAAUAAGGUAAGCAUAGAGUGUUUGAGGAACAUAGAGUAAGACCAUUAGCAUAACCGGAGAUAACUCCUGAGCUAAAAACUGGAUAAUAAGUAAAAUUUACCUAGAAAAGGCAUUCAAGGCUGAGGACACAAUAGGAUCCAAGGCAUGGAGGCAGGAAAUAAUUUGAUAGAAGUGGGAAUUCUAAGCAGCUGGAGCACUGCAAAAUAAAGGAAGGGUAUAUGUAGUAACCAGAUCUUGGGGGAGUUUUUAUGCUACCUUGUAGAGCUUGGCUUUUGUUUUUAGAUUGAGAUCAACCUCAGAUUAUAUACUUCUGGCUGAAGUACGGAGGGUGGAUGUCGAGAGGAGAAGAGAGAAGACUAGGGGAAGGCUCAGCAGAGAUGAUGAGGCCUUAAACUAGAACAGUAAGGAUAGAUACAUAAGAGGAUGUCUUCAAGAAAUAUUUAUUUUCAAAUGUUUAUUUAUUUAUUUUGAGAGAGAGAAAGGUGGGGGAGGGACUGAGAGGGAGAGAGAGAGAGAGAGAGAAUCCCAAGCAGGAUCUGUACUGUCAACAGAGCCUGACUUGGGGCUUGAACUCAUGAAACCAUGAGAUCAUUACCUGAGCCGAAAUCAAGAGAUGGAUGCUUAACCGACUGAGCCACCCAGGUGCCCCUGGGAAUUAAUAAAAGUAAAAGAAAAUUAAGAGACUUAUUUAUGGCCUAACAUAUAAUCUAUUUUGGAGAAUGUUCCAUGUGCACUUGAGAAAAAUGUGUUAUUUACUAUUAUUGGGGGAUGUUGUAUAGAUGUCUGUUUGGUCUGGAGUGUUAGGUUUAUAGUGUUAUUAAAGUCUUCUGCUUCCUUCCUGAUCUUCUGUCUCCUUGUUCUAUUAACUGAAAGUAGACUUUGAAAUCUCCAACUAUUAUUAAGUUGUCUAUUUCUCCAAUUCUGCCAGUUUUUUCUUCACGUGUUUUGGGGUUCUGUUGUUAGGUGCGUAUGUGUUUAUAAUUGUUACAUCUUCCUAAUGAAUUGAUCCUUUUAUCGUUAUAAAAUGUCUUUGUCUCCAGUAACAACUUUUGUUUUAAAGUCUGUUUUGUCUGAUAUUAGUAUAGUUAUUUAAACUCUUUUGGUUACUCUUUGUAUGGCAUAAUUUUUUCCCAUUCUUUUACUUUCAACCUAUUUGUGUCUAUGAAUUUAAAGCAUGUCUCUCAAUGAGAUACCACAUCACACCUGUCAGAAAGGAUAAAAUUAACAACUCAGGAAAUAACAGAUGUUGGCAAGGACAUAGUGAAAGGGGAACCCUUUUGCACUGCUGGUGGGAAUGCAAAAUGGUGCAGCCACUCUGGAAAACAGUAUGGACGUUCCUCAAAAAAUUAAAAAUAGAACUACCCUACGACCCAACAAUUGCACUACUAGGUAUUUAUCUGAAGGAUAUAAAAAUUCUUAUUUGAAGGGGUACAUGCACCCUAAUGUUUAUAGCAACACUAUCAACAAUAGCCAAAUUAUGGAAAGAGCCCAAAUGUCCAUUGACUGAUGAGUGGAUAAAGAAUAUGUGGUGUGUGUAUAUAUAUAUAUACAUAUACACAAUGGAAUAUUACUCGGUGAUGAAAAAGAAUGAAAUCUUGCCAUUUGCAACAACAUGAAUGGAACUAGAGUGUAUUUUGUAAGGAAAAUAAGUCAGUCAGAGAAAGAUAAAUAUCAUAUGAUUUCACUCAUGUGGAAUUUAAGAAACAAAACAGAUGAACAUAGGAGAAUGGAGGGAAAAAUAAGAUAAAAAGAGAGAUGGAUGCAAACCAUGUGAGACUCUUAAAUACAGAGAACAAACAGGGUUGCUGGAGGGGUGUUGUGUCCAAGGAUGGUCUAAAUGGGUGAUGUGCAUUAAGGAGGGCACUUGUUGGGAUGAGCACUGGUGUUGUAUGUAAGUGAUAAAUCACUAAAUUCUACUCCUGAAAUCAUUAUUACACUACAUGUUAACUAACUUGGAAUUAAAUAAAAUUUAGGGGCACCUGAGUUAAGUGUUUGACUUCGGCUCAGGUCAUGAUCUCACAGUCCGUGGGUUCAAGCCCCGUGUUGGGCUCUGUGCUGACAGCUCAGAGCCUGGAGCUUGUGUUGGAUUCUGUGUCCCACCCCCCACCCCCCUUUGCACCACCCCUGCUCAUGCUCUGUCUCGCACUGUCUCUCAAAAAUAAAUAAAUGUUAAAAAAUUUUUUUGAAUGAAUAAAAUUUAAAAAUUAAAAAAAAAGUGUGUCUCUUAUAGAAAGCAUAGUUAGGUUAGUUAAAAAAAUUAAUUCUGCUGACAUCUGCCUUUUGAUUAGAGAGUUUAUUCCAUUUACAUUUGAUAUAGCUACUGAUAAGUUAUGGUAUAAGUGUGUCAUUUGCUAUUUAUUUUCUACAUGUCUUGUGUCUUUGUUUCUCUAUUCCUCCAUUACUGCUUUCUUUUGUGUUAACUACAUAUUUUAUAUCUAUAUAUAACUUUGUAUAUAUAUGAUAUAUAUUUUAUAUCUCUAUAUAUCAUAUAUAUGAAUAUUUUUGAAUAAUAUAUGUAUAUUUCUGUAAGAAUGCAUUUGUAAGUGUACAUAAAGAAAACAGAAGGAUAUACAUAAAUAGAGAAGGCUAAAAGUUUUUAAGAGUUAUUAUUAUUUUGUUUACUUAUUCAUAAGAUUGUAAUAAGAUCUAUAAUAUUAAAAAGCCCACUAUUUCCCACCAUUGCUAAAGUUAAAUCCAAAUAGUAUGUUGUAGAGAGAUAGCAUUUUUCUCUAGAGACUCUGUAGAUCCACUUUUCCCCAUUAAUUUCAAGAUAGAGCAAAAUUUCACAGUGCUUUACAAAAAGAUUGAUGUCUUUUAACUAUGAGACUAUCCAGAGAUUCAGAAUUCAAAAUACAAAUAUGCAGUAUAGUUGGAUAGUCAAAUAUACCUACUAUAUUGCAGUAGAAAGAGCCUAAGCAAUUUUUGGCCUAUGUUCAAAGUUUUACUACUGCAAACAAAGUGCUGAAUCAUGUUUUUCUUAGAAAGAAUCAUAACAUCAGUUUAUAACCUAUUUUCUUCAGUUCACUCUAAUUCCUUGGACUUUUUAGGGGGCAAGAAUGUGGGUCUUAUUUUCAAGUAGUCAAAGUAUUUUUUAAAAAUUUGGUUGAGGGGUGCCUGGGUGGCUCAGUCAGUUAAGCAUCCAACUUUGGCUCAGGUCAUGAUCUUGGGGUUUGUGAGUUCGAGCCCCACGUCGGGCUCUGCUGACAGCUCAGAGCCUUGAGCCCAUUUAGGAUUCUGUGUCUCCCUCUCUCUCUGCCUCUCCCCCACUCAUGCCCUGUCUCUCUCCUUCAAAAAUAAACAUAACAUUUUUUAAAUUUGGUUGAUAAAUAGUAUGUCAUAAUGAUGAGAAUGGUAAACUUCAACAGAAAUGUGAAAAAUUCCUGGGGCGCCUGGGUGGCGCAGUCGGUUAAGCGUCCGACUUCAGCCAGGUCACGAUCUCGCGGUCCGUGAGUUCGAGCCCCGCGUCGGACUCUGGGCUGAUGGCUCAGAGUCUGGAGCCUGCUUCCGAUUCUGUGUCUCCCUCUCUCUCUGCCCCUCCCCUGUUCAUGCUCGGUCUCUCUCUGUCCCAAAAGUAAAUAAACGUUGAAAAAAAAAAAAAAUUUAAAAAAAAAAAAAUUCCAAAACAGUGGGUGUUUGAACAUAAACAUAGGUGAGGAAUUCAAAACCAGGUUAUUAUUUUAACAAAACCAAGCUAAUAUUUUAGCAAAGGCAGUGUUCCAGAGCUCUAUUAAGUCUAGGAAAUAUGCAUAAUAGUAAACACAAAGUAAUAGAGUGCCAUAUAUAUAUAUAUAUAUAUAUACACACACACACGCAUAAUAUAUACAAUCUUCACCGCUAGAUGAAACUAAUUCAAACAUAAAUUUUCUUCCAGAUUUUGAUUUAAAACUUAUUUUACUUAUAAUUAUUUUUUAUAGUUAUUUUCUUUUUACCAGCUAGUAACAUAGACAGUGUUUAUGUACAUUUUGAAUGCCAGUACUCUAUUCUUAAGGAUUUUACAUUUUCAAGGAAGUAAACUGGUAUUUACUAAUGAGUAACCUAGUUUUGAGGCAGCAGUCAUAAGCAAAAGCUAAGUGGAUUCUUUUGUGCUAAGAGCUAGGGAAUAACAGGAAUCAACUUUCUGUUGUCUGUAGUCCCAGGAGACUGUAAACAAACUAAGAGUAUUACAGAGGGACAAAUAAGCAUUAGUGUUCCCAGGCACACCCAUGGGCAGGUUUAAUGACUAAGCUAUUUGAAUGUGAGGCUUAUGAUUUCUCUACAUUUACUUGGUAGAUUAGAAUUCAGGAAAGUGUCAGGGUGCCUGGGUAGCUCAGUCAGUUGAGUGUCUGACUCAGGUCAUGAUCCUAGGGUCGUGGGAUCAGCCCCAUGUUCAGUUCUGUGCUGACUGUGAAGCCUGCUUGAGAUUUUCUCUCUCUCUUUCUUUCUUCUCUCUCUCUCUCUCAUUCUGCCCUUCUCUCCUGCACACGCUGUCUCUCUCAAAUCAAAAAAGAAUUCAGGAAAGUGUCCACACAGUUCUCAAAAACAAACCUGAUGGAUCUCUGGGGGAGGUAGUAGGACGGAAUUGUCAAAUGGGAUUUUAGUUUUUUCUGUACUAUCUUAUUGUUUAUAAGGAGAUUAUAUUCAUAUACUAAAUUGAUGAUUAAAAACUUUAAAAAAAGUUAAAAAAGAGAUACGAAUAAUUGAGAAAUCAUCAUAUAAAUGUAGAUUUAUGAACUUGUACCCUCUCGGGGUAAUUGAUUCCUCUUUAAACAGCAUAUUUAUUUGGCAUUUUUGAAGGGCAUAUAAAGCCACUCUAGGGGUCCAAAUGGAAUGUGAUUAAAACUAGAGAAGAAUAAAUAAUUAAAUUAAAUAAUUUGGGUCAUUUGAAAAACACCCUGCCUGGUAUCUGCACCUCAGGACCACCUUAGGGUAACCAGGAUGCCAGAAUUUGUGCAAGCCUACUUACUGGGUGAAGAAAGGCAAGCUGCUUAAACUUUACCUGCCUCAAAUUUUCUCAGCAAUUCAAUGGGAGGUUAUGCUGCUUUUUCCUUGCAGAAAUGAAAUCACAAUUUAUUUUAAGGGGAGAGAGAGAAAAAAAAAACAGAGACAUAUUCAGUAAUAAAGAUUAGAAGAGCCUUGAGAUUGAGAAGUAUAGCUCACUCACUGAUGUCUCUUCUCUCCCAGGGUACCUGGCAUUGGAGCCUGACACACAGUCACUGUUGAACUGAAGUUUGGAUUUCCAAAUCUACAAAGAUGAAGAUCAAAUUGUAGACAACGGCUCCAGCAGAUCUUUAAAGGCUCACCUCUGCUCUCUCCUAUCCUCUUCGCUCCUCUAUUUCUAUAUCCAAUUUGCUUGCCCUGUCAUCAAUCCAUGCACUCUGCCUAAGAUACCUAUUCCCACUUUUGGAACAGCCAGACACUUUUUUGUGUAUGUUUUUGGACCAACUUAAAUGCCACCUCAUCUCUGAAGCUCCCUCUGACUGUCUCCUGGGCAAUUAUUGCCCUAGCAUCAUGUUCCUAAGCAUCUUAUGUAAUUUCUUUCAUAUUACAAUUUUUAUGUUGGGUUCCCCACUGGUUGAGAAUUCUUUGAAAGAGAGCUAGUGACUUAUUUAUCUUUUUAUCCCCAAAGUCUGGCAUGUGCCUGGCAUUUAGGAAAUACAAAGUAAUGUUUAAAAAAUAAAUUGUUAAUGUGAAUUUUACCUUAAGCAUAAUCUGUCACCGUAGGGCACAACAGGGCUAUCAAUUGAUUACAUUAAAUAAAUAAAAAAAAAAACUCUUCCUUUCUCUACUUUUUGACCAAGAAUAAAAAUUAAAAUCAAAUUAUAUAACAUUUUAGAUAAAUAUUUUUAUGAUUUAAGGCAUUAGAAACAUCAUGCAUUUUCUAUAUGAUUCUUCAAGUAUAGCAUCAGCAUCACUUGGAAACGUGUUAGAAAUGUAAAUUCUUGUGCCUCAUCUCAGACUUAUGAAAUCAGAAAUUCUGGGCAUGAAGUUCAGUAAUCUGUAUUUUAACAAAUCCCCCAAAGAUGAUUCUGAUGCACUUUUUUUUUUAAUUUUUAAGAGUUUAUUUAUAUUUGAGAGAGAAAGAGAUGAGAGAGAGAGAGAGAGAGAGAGAGAAAGCGAGCUUGAGCUGGCAAGGAACAGAGAGAGAAAGAGGGAGAGAAUCCCAAGCAGACUCCAUGCUGUCAGUGCAGAGCCCAGCUCAGGGCUUGAUAUCACAAACUGUGAGAUCAUGACCUGAGCUGAAAUCAAGAGUUGGACGCUUACGUGACUGAGCUGCCCACGUGCCCUGACCAAAUGUAAGUUUCUUAAGCAUUUUUAUUUGUUCUAGAACAAUGUUUCUCAGAUUUUAGAAUGCAGCAGAAUUGAGGCUUCUGGGUGGCUCAAUUGGUUAAACGUCUGAUUCUUGGUUUUAGCUCAGGCCAUGAUCCCAGGGUCAUGGGAUUGAGCUCUGCAUCAGGCUGAGCAUGGAGCCUAGUUAGGAUUCUCUCUCAUCUCUCUCUCUCUCUCUCUUUCCCUCUCCCUUCUCUCUCUCCCUCUGCCCUUAUUCCCUGCUUGUAAUCUCAUUCUCUCUUAAAAAACAAAACAAAACAAACAAAAAAACCCUUACACUUGGUCAACAACUAUUUUUAAUUUUUUUUUUUUCAACGUUUAUUUAUUUUUGGGACAGAGAGAGACAGAGCAUGA
Molecule: long non-coding RNA, 8263 nt
Filed under: Lynx pardinus (Iberian lynx)
Lineage: Eukaryota; Metazoa; Chordata; Mammalia; Carnivora; Felidae
Source: RNAcentral